CCCAAAAGAUAGUUACGUAACUUGAGCUGCACACGCGGGUGGGGUUCACAGGUGAGCCGGGAGAAAGGAGGUGUCGGUGUCUCGGUGUGUGAGGUUUCAGGUUUGAGCACCAAUGGUAGAGCCGUGGAGCGGCCUUCUUGUCUCGUUGGACGGACGGGCUCGUUCUCCUUCUUCUACCGGAGCAGGCGGAGGAACGAGGUGGGAAGGUGCGAGCGAGGCCGGAGGAGCGGCGGGGACGGCGCAGCGGGCGUCGAGCCGGAGGCGAGCUCGGGAGCGGCAGGGGCGCCGCAGAGCGACUGGCGGCGGCGGCGGCGCAGCGGCCUGCAUCUCUUCCUCGGGAGGAGCAGCGGGGGACGCGGAGGACUGCUCGGGAGGCUGGAUAGCCGGCACCGCCUCUCGCACUUCCACGAGUUCCUGCGCCGGUUCUGCUCCUUCCACGGCCGGCGCCUCCACGACCGCCGCGACCGGUUCUAGUUCUUCCGGUUCGAGCUGUGGAGGUGGAAGAAGCUCUGGGAGCCGCCCUGGCUCAGCGGCCCGUCCUGCACCUACGAGUAGAAGUGGCCGGUCCCAUCAUUCGAGCUCUUUCCGUCGAUGAAGGGCCACUGGCGGCAGGUCGCGAAGCUGCGGCGCCCGGUCUCCUAGCUCUUGCCGCACAUGGACCCGGGCCACCCCUCAGACUGGAAGCUCCCCGCCGACAGCACCUUCUUCUUCUAGGACCGGAAGCAGAAGCUCGCCUAUGCGCAGUUCCAGCCAGGCGACGGGAGGGACCUCUAGGGUGAGCCGCCGCCGCUGUGCUCGUCCCUCGGCUCGUGGUUCCUGGGGAAGAAGGACACCAAGAUGCACCUGCUCCUCUAGCGGCACCGCGUCCCGUUCCCGCCGCCGUGGCGGAAGACCACGGCUACGUUCGCGCAGGGCCGUACUGCUGGUUCCAGGGCAAGUCAAUCGCGCACUUCGUAGUCUCCGAGGGAGGGAGAGAAAGAAAGAGAUCAGACAUCGGUUACAAAAGUACAAGAACUCGCAAUGACAUGUGUUAAUACAUCUGCCUACUGCAUUAUAAGCUUGCUACUCUACUAUGAUGCAUGAAUGAACACGAAUAAAUAAAUAAAUAAAGACCAUAUUACCUCCUGAUAAAAAACUGUCCUUUUGAAGGCUAGAUAAGUGUUAUGUUGCUUGUUGUCUUUAUUCGCUUGGCUUCUAGAAUCUACUUCUUAGAACAGUUUGGUAGGCUGAGCGGCUAAAUGUACCAUGUCACUUGAUUACCUUCCUCUACUGUCCUUCAACGGAAAAGAAGGACACUCCAACUCCUUCAACUAAGGCCAUUGCAAAUACGUUGUGGGUAGGUUUGUUGAAGCAUCUUAAUGGCCCACGCAAGACACUAUAAAAAACAUGUCUUGCAAAAGAUAAAGUCAACCCAACAUAAACCCCGUCACGUAAUAAUCAUUCCCGCUUUAUAAAGAAUACAUGUAUAAUACGAUUUACUAACACCUCCCGUUGGGAAUAAAUCAUAUGGACCAAAUAAAUGGUAAACUAUAUCGACUAAACUUUUCCACACAAAAACCUGAAAGCACGGACACGUGUGUCCUUUUAUUUUCAGCUCUCCAAAUCUCUACUGUACUACAAAUGGUGUAUUAAUUCCCCGCGGUAUACACCUGAAUUGAAAAAAGGUUCUAUACAACGUGUUCCGAGGUCUUAGGUUGCAAGAACAUUGACAACAACAUGGAUACAACCAAACGGUUGAUAUUAAGAUCUUAAAGGAAAGCCUUGUAUUUUAAACCUUAAUGGUUAGCAAGGUAUCUUAACUCGAUAAAUUAGUGUAC
This 1817-nucleotide ribosomal RNA is filed under the name Triticum aestivum (bread wheat). RNAcentral's name for it is "partial small subunit ribosomal RNA". The record is from RNAcentral. Lineage: Eukaryota; Viridiplantae; Streptophyta; Magnoliopsida; Poales; Poaceae.